This is a non-coding RNA of Lonchura striata (white-rumped munia), 683 nucleotides long. Lineage: Eukaryota; Metazoa; Chordata; Aves; Passeriformes; Estrildidae. The record is from RefSeq and is a predicted model, not a curated record.
CGUCCCGCCGUGCCCUGGCCUCGGGCGUGGGAGCGGCAGCAGCGGCCGCCCAGCCUGAUGAGCACAGAUUGAAAGAGGGGAAUUUGGGUACUGGAGGCAGCUCUUGGCGGUGAGGGUGGCGAGGCCGCUGGAACAGGAAGGUUGUGAGAGCCCGAGGCCAUGGUGGCGAGUGGAGCCGGGCUGGCAGAAAGUGAAGCUCAAGAUGAGUUUGCUCCUGGCUUUGGGAAUCCUCAGUCUGGACUCUGCCAUGCCUUGCAAGCAGAAAGAUGCCACGUGAAUUCUGGAGCUGCAGAAGUUCUGUGACAUCAGAUGACCACCUCCACUGUCUUCCAGUGUGUGUGCACACUUGUGUGUGUGCACAAAGGGCCAAGAGGAGAGUCUACUCACUUCUAAAAGUGUGGGUUUUUAAGAAGCUUGAAAACAGAAGCCUGGAAUGUGGAGCUCUAAUGCACUUGGAAAUGCUUCUGUUACCAUUCCUGCUCGUCAGAAAUACUGCUUGGUUCCAUCGUAUGGCAGGGGAGUGGCUGUUCACCGAAAAUGAAUAAUCCUGGAAUGAAGUUCGGGAUAGUGUGUCACUCUAGAAAGAGAAGUGGCCUUCUGGGCAGUCUUAGAACUUAUAUGAAUUUUUGAGUGUAUGAAAUAAAUGGAUCAAAAGUGAAUAAAACAAAGAUUAAAACGUGGGA